RNAcentral lists this long non-coding RNA (5202 nucleotides) under Phoenix dactylifera (date palm). Its description in RNAcentral is "long non-coding RNA (PDAC_LNC001934)". The record is from RNAcentral. Lineage: Eukaryota; Viridiplantae; Streptophyta; Magnoliopsida; Arecales; Arecaceae.
UGUACCAAAAAGAAUGAUAUAUAUAUAAUCAAGUCCACAAGGACAAAGUAAAUGGCUGAGGCACUUGACCGGACGGCCAUACUUUUUUCAAUUUCUUUUAUCUGAAUUGGAUGACAUCGUGAAAAGGUUCACAAAUGCAGCAAACACACUAAACCAGGUUGGUUUAUUUAUUUAAUUGUCUAUUUUAGAAAACCAUGCAGAGACACUCAGUAGAAAAGGGAAGCAUUGAAGCAACCAUUGCAACCUCACAAACACUCACUCCAAACGCAAGCUCUUGAUUAUUAUAGUUCUCACACCAGCAGGUAUACGAACUCAAACCCGAACUAACCACUUCAAGCAUAGGCACCAGGGUUGGCCAGGAGGUAGGCCUCUGCAGCCUUGAUAAUCCCGAUCACUGCUUCCUUUCCCUUGGCUAUCUCAUCCUUGUUGUCAACUCCUGGUAAUGGCUUAUAGGUUGUCACCACCUUGCACACGCACCCUCCCUUGCUGGAUUUCUCGAACUUGAAAUGGGUUGAGGCUGACUCGAUCUUCUUCCCAAGAUCGCCUCCUUCCACCAGGCUGUGCUUGCACUCAAACUUAUCGAAGUCCACAAAGUCGAGGCGCUCCUUUACAUAGCCAAAUGGCAUCGCUACAAAUAUUAGAGCCACAAGGUUAGCACCAACUCUAAGUACAUGAAAAUUAUAUAUAUAAGAGCUUGUUUGGAUGAUUAGGCUGAAAAAAUUCUAUUAAAUGUAUGGAUUGAGCCAGUACAACUAGCUGGUCCAGGCCCAUAUUCAUAAGUACUUAGGAAUAGCUAGAGUGGGCCGGUUAGAUUUUCAUAUUAAGAAAAAAGAUCUUAGCUAAUAUAGGCUUAGACCAGCCUGUAAUCUUAUGAUUUUGCUGGCUAUGCUGGCUCAAUCUAUAAAUCCAAAAAAAAAUUUAACCCAAUCAUCAAAACAGAACCGAAGACUAGAUAACUUCAGAGCAUGGGCCACAAUACCUGAGGUAAAGUUGAUCUGCCUGACACUCCCGACGCUACCAUCACCAUGGACACCGGCGGCGCUUACGAUGAUAUCAGGCAGGAGCUUAGCGGCCAAGUUGUGCCAGUCGAGGACCGCCUUGAACAACCUUGGAGCGGGAGCUUGGGACUCGACCUCGAGGUUCCAACACGGGAGACUCAUGGUUAAAUUGGAUUCUUUAUUGGGCUUCACUUCUUCUGCUAAGUUGUGGUGAGUGAAUUCCAGAUGGAGAAUGGCGAGCAAAGGUUGGGGGUUUUAUAGAGGGUUUGUGUGGAAUGGUAGGUAUGGAACGAAGAAGCAUGCGUGCUCGUCUAUUCAAAUUUGGGCAGCGCCGUUGCUAGAACUGCUGUCUAAUAAAAAGAGAGGAGGACAGAGUGCAGGAGAGAGAGGUAGGUAGGUUGCUUACAUGAAGGUGAGACUUCGGGGAACGUUUUUCGUCCAUUCUGACGGAUCCCAGCCAAAACAGACGUGAGCGCCAUUAUUGUUGAUAUAUGCCCUGAUUCGCAGUUUAUGAUUUCAAAUUUUUAAUAUUAAAAUAAUAUAUGAAAAACCAACCUUUACUGUUCAUCUAAUAAAAAUAUCAUUUUUCAGGUGAGACAAACUUAAUUAUUUGGAGAUUAUUUAGAUUAUAAUAAAUUGUUUUAUUGCCCAAUAAUCCAUCUGUUAUCUUUUUCUACGCUAUAUUGCCAUAAUAACAGAGUAAAGUAGGAGCCAAAAAACAUUAUAAAUUUAUAAUAACCAUUCUCUCUCUCUCUUCUUUUUUUUUUUAUAAUAACUAACAUGCGGGCCGUCAUCAUAAUAGGCACGUGGCAACCCAGGUUUGUAAUAAAGAUCAACCUGCCAGGCCUAUUUGGUAAAUAAAUUGAGUUUAAAUUUAAACUCAGUAUACUUAAUCUAUUAAAAAAUUAUUUAAUUGGCUUUGACUUGUUUAAUAAAUGGGCUAUAUAGCCAGAUCAGGCCAUCUAUUUAAUAAAUAAAUCAAAUUUAAAUAGAUAAAAUUUUAAUUUAAUCGAUAUUCGCCACCUCUUUUUUAUUGGAAUAAAAAAAAUUUAUUUAUAAAAAGAAUUUAUUUUUUUAUUUGCUAUUUUUUAGAGGUUUUGCCUAAUUUAAACAUCGAAAGGCCCUUCCCGUCGGAUCGGCUUUGGCAACCUUCGAGCGGGUUUUUUUUUAUUUUUUCCUGCUGCAAGGUGACAGGCACAAAUGGGACCCCACGUCUUUCAAAGUGUCAUAUCGGGUUUUGACGGUAACAGCUUUGAUUUAUUAUUAUUGUACGAGAAAACUUUGUCAUCGUCAAAGAAAUUUGCAAGAAGGGGACUCGAUCAGCUCUGCAGGCAGUACAUGUCACAGCAAAUCCAGCAUAUAAACUUUAACACGUGUUUGUAUCUGACAUGAAAUUUAGUGUUUUUUUUUUUUGGUACAUGAAAAUUUAGUUUGGGUACGUGGCAAGAGCUCUAGCUGGGGAUCUUGGCCUGCAAGAUGAUGCGUUUGGCGCCGCCCGCACCGCCCCCACCGCGCUAUUCCCAACUUAUUCUCCGCCAAAAACAACUUAUUCUCCAGUUGGGCAGUAAAGGUCGGGGAAGGGUAAGACCAAAGAGUCGGGCCGAAAAAUUUUCUUAAGUGCAAAAAGGUUCAAAGCUGAAGGUGGAGAUUUUGUCGGAAUGACGUGUCCAGCAGGGCCAAAACGCACGGCUCUUACGGUGGUAGCGUCACAGAAUGGAGACCUAGCCUUCUAGAAAUCUUAUCUCCCUCUUAUUUCUUACUAAGAAACGUCCUCUCUUUCAUCUGGUAAAAAAGAUGAUUUACAAGGAUCGUAUGGUCGGCAAGGAAAAGAAUUGCAUGUUUAAUGGUGGGACUCAUAUUGGGACAAGCCUCGUGGUUCUAUCUUGACUAAUAAGAAAAAUUGUCCCAUUGAUUUAUUAGCCCCACCAAUUCUUCUUUUAACAACUAAUUUUUAGACUAUGAGUACGUGACAAAUAAUAUCAGAACUAUACCUAUUGUGCGUCACAAACUUCAUUGGUCAUCAGAGCUCUUUAUUGAAAGAGACUAAAGUCGAGGAGGACUUGGGCUAUGGACAGACUUCCAUCUCUAGAGUAGGAGACAUCUAUGAUGAGGAUAUCACAAGAUUAAAUGGAGGAGAUUGUCAUACAUGUGGCGGCCCCGAGUGGACAAAGAUGCUCCUAUAUGCGGUGGAAGAUUUGCAGGUACAUGCCUACUGUCUUGGUGAAUAAUAGAUGGCUGAUCAGCGAUGGGCAGAACGUGAAUGUGGUAGAGGAUUUGUGGGUGGACUCUCUUCCUUUGAGACUCUGGACGACCAUGGUCAACGUCGAGACAGUGGACAGGGUCCGUGAUCUUCUUAGUCCAGAGGGGGCGGAGUGGGAUGUCUGCAGGAUCGAUCAGUUAUUUGGAGAGCACUCUGUAGAGCGUGCUCGAUCGCUCCCGAUUCCCAGGUGUGCUGAUGGAAGGGUUUGGAGCACGUCCUACAGAGCUAAUGUCAGUGUGGGAGAUGUUUUUCGCACCCUCCAGCGGGAGCACAAACUUUGGAUGGUUGUGCUUGGAUCUGGAGCUUUAGACUCUAUCUAAGAGUAGCAUUAUUUCUGUGAAAGAUGGCCUCGAGCAUCCGCCGACAAGAUUGGUGCUGAGCAGAAGGGGGCUGGGCUUUCAUCCCCAGUGUCCGGAUUGCCGAGUGAAUGAGACGGUGGUGGACGAUGCGCUAGAUCAUGUUCUAUUCCAGUGUGUGUAGGCUAAGGGGUUUGGGUUUGUCAUUAGGAGCCCGAACUCUAGAAUAGUGACUGCUGGUGGCUAUCGGAUCUUCAAUAUCUCAGUUUCUAGAGCAAAGCUGUGGGCGGCUUGGGCCGGUCUGAGUCAUGCUCGCGCGUGCUACAGACCAGCUCGGUAUAUUAGAGUGUGACUCGACCACUGUAAUCAGCUGGAUCUAGGGUGGCCUGAGUCGCGGUAGAGGAGGACACCAUCUGCUUCGAGAUAUUUGGACUAUGGUGAGUAACGUUGUGGCCUUUUCAGCUGGGCAUAUGUUUAGAGAGGCUAAUGGGGCCGCGGACUGGGUGGCUUCUUAUGUGGCCUAUCACUCUAGGGGUACUCUGUAGGCUGGGGAGGAGGAGCUGCUGAGAGCACUCUAAGACUUGUUAUUUUUUAUUUUAUUGGGUGUAUCCGUACUCGUACGGUACGAAAUGCCGCUUUAGGUGGAAAAAAAAAAAAGGAGAAAAAUACAACCUUGUCCCUCGUCCUUUUGUGUGGGUCGAGGUGCUUAUCCUUGUGGUCAAAUGUAAACUUAGCGGGAAAACGAUUUGGAUGCGAGUGAAUGCCUUUUUAGAUACCAAGUUUGUUAUCUUCAGAUGGUAUGUUAUAUAAGAAAGUGCUAGUGGUGACGUUAGCAAGAGUAUUAUAAGCCACCAGCGUAGGCUAGUGGGGAUCUUAAUGGCCCUGGUUACUUCAAAUUUAAUUAACGGUUGUUUGUGAUUUGCAUUUUAAUUGCAUAAUUAUUUCUGUUUAUGCUAGUCGAACCAAACACAAGGAUCAUCCGUGGUACUCACAUGCCUCGCAAAGGAAAUUAGGCUGCGGAUUGACUUGCAAUUUUUAUUGUUCCAUCGGCUUUAGCAAAAAGCCAGUAUGAAAACAUAUGGGCCGGGUCAGGGUUAGAUUGGGUCAACCAAGCCCAAAUUAGUCUGGUAUGUGAAGCACGAAGUGCGCUGCAUUUAGAGCCUUCCCAGUUUGAUUAGGUUGAUUAAGACAAAUAAAGUAGUUUUGGAUGUGUUUAUUUGUAUUUAGACAGCCAAACUAAUCAACCUAUUUAGGUUGGUUACAAGUCCAAUUAGUUAGCCGUCUUUAUAGUCCAUACCACGUUCACUGUGCCAAAAAGAAUGAUAUAUAUGUAAUAUAUAAAAUCAUGUCCAUAAGGAGAAAGUAAAAGGCUGAGGCACUUGACCGAACGGCCAUACUUUUUUCAAUUUCUUUUCUGAGUUGGAUGACAUUGUGAAAAGGUUCACAAAUGCAGCAAACACACUAAACCAGGUUGGUUUAUUUAUUUAAUUGUCUAUUUUAGAAAACCAUGCAGAGACACUCAGUAGAAAAGGGAAGCAUGGAANNNNNNNNNNNNNNNNNNNNNNNNNNNNNNNNNNNNNNNNNNNNNNNNNNNNNNNNNNNNNNNNNNNNNNNNNNNNNNNNNNNNNNNNNNNNNNNNNNNNNNNNN